UCUGACGGAGCACGCCGCGUGAGUGAUGAAGGUUUUCGGAUCGUAAAGCUCUGUUGUUAGGGAAGAACAAGUACCGUUCGAAUAGGGCGGUACCUUGACGGUACCUAACCAGAAAGCCACGGCUAACUACGUGCCAGCAGCCGCGGUAAUACGUAGGUGGCAAGCGUUGUCCGGAAUUAUUGGGCGUAAAGGGCUCGCAGGCGGUUUCUUAAGUCUGAUGUGAAAGCCCCCGGCUCAACCGGGGAGGGUCAUUGGAAACUGGGGAACUUGAGUGCAGAAGAGGAGAGUGGAAUUCCACGUGUAGCGGUGAAAUGCGUAGAGAUGUGGAGGAACACCAGUGGCGAAGGCGACUCUCUGGUCUGUAACUGACGCUGAGGAGCGAAAGCGUGGGGAGCGAACAGGAUUAGAUACCCUGGUAGUCCACGCCGUAAACGAUGAGUGCUAAGUGUUAGGGGGUUUCCGCCCCUUAGUGCUGCAGCUAACGCAUUAAGCACUCCGCCUGGGGAGUACGGUCGCAAGACUGAAACUCAAAGGAAUUGACGGGGGCCCGCACAAGCGGUGGAGCAUGUGGUUUAAUUCGAAGCAACGCGAAGAACCUUACCAGGUCUUGACAUCCUCUGACAAUCCUAGAGAUAGGACGUCCCCUUCGGGGGCAGAGUGACAGGUGGUGCAUGGUUGUCGUCAGCUCGUGUCGUGAGAUGUUGGGUUAAGUCCCGCAACGAGCGCAACCCUUGAUCUUAGUUGCCAGCAUUCAGUUGGGCACUCUAAGGUGACUGCCGGUGACAAACCGGAGGAAGGUGGGGAUGACGUCAAAUCAUCAUGCCCCUUAUGACCUGGGCUACACACGUGCUACAAUGGACAGAACAAAGGGCAGCGAAACCCGCGAGGUUAAGCCAAUCCCACAAUCUGUUCUCAGUUCGGAUCGCAGUCUGCAACUC
Molecule: ribosomal RNA, 938 nt
Filed under: Bacillus sp. (in: firmicutes)
Lineage: Bacteria; Bacillati; Bacillota; Bacilli; Caryophanales; Bacillaceae
Description: bacterial SSU rRNA
Rfam family: Bacterial small subunit ribosomal RNA
Source: RNAcentral